GAAGCCGAUAGCGAACAAGUACUGUGAAGGAAAGGUGAAAAGAACUUUGAAAAGAGGGUUAAAAGAUUUGAAACCGUUGGGAAGGAAGCUAUGGGAGUUGGUCUAUGCCGAGUAUGCCUGACGAAAGUGGAAAGCGGCGGGGCUCUUUACAGGUCACGUGCUGGAAGCGAAGGAAAGGUCUCUACCGGCAAAAGGUAGGAUGGGGUCCGGCUGGGCGAUAAGCUUGCAAGAUUUUAGCUUGCAAGUGGGGCUUGGCUGGGCCUGAGGGGCUUUUGCGAUCCUGCCGAAACGACUUUCAUAGGCCCGUCUUGAAACACGGACCAAGGAGUCUAU
This 333-nucleotide ribosomal RNA is filed under the name uncultured Symbiodinium. RNAcentral's name for it is "partial Eukaryotic large subunit ribosomal RNA". It matches the Rfam family "Eukaryotic large subunit ribosomal RNA", at positions 330 to 678 of the family's 3401-position model. The record is from RNAcentral. Lineage: Eukaryota; Dinophyceae; Suessiales; Symbiodiniaceae.